GCCUCAAUGGGGGAAUAGGUAGACCUGUGUGCCUUAGGAGCACAUGAGCUUAGCUCGUGUCGGUUCGAGUCCGACUUGAGGUA
This 83-nucleotide transfer RNA is filed under the name Bacteriophage sp. RNAcentral describes it as "tRNA-Leu". It matches the Rfam family "tRNA". From Rfam's summary of the family: Transfer RNA (tRNA) molecules are approximately 80 nucleotides in length. Their secondary structure includes four short double-helical elements and three loops (D, anti-codon, and T loops). The record is from RNAcentral.